GUUUGCUUGAGGCCAUCUGAAAAAAAAACACAUGUUGCUAUGGGAAAGCAAAUUUGUUUUCUGUAUGAUUGGACAGUUUCCUGACUACUAUCAAAGCUACACUUCCUGGGACUGGAAUGCAAAAGUAGGAAGUCAGGAAACACCUGGAGUAACAGGGUUUGGAGACAUAGUAUCUGACUAAGAUCUCCAGAAAGGAAUCAGCUUUCAUAGUUUUCAGUGUCAUUAUU
Molecule: long non-coding RNA, 227 nt
Organism: Cervus elaphus (red deer)
Lineage: Eukaryota; Metazoa; Chordata; Mammalia; Artiodactyla; Cervidae
Exons: 3
Source: RefSeq, a predicted model, not a curated record